UAGAAUUUUAAGAUUGAAGGUUGUGCUGGCUUUUCGGAGCAUGUGCACGCCUUUGGUCGAAAUCUUCUCCUUCAACCACUGUGCACCUUUUGUGGAAUCUGUUGCAGAAAAUGCGAAUGGAGACUAUGCGCGCUUAACCCCGCGCUCGUCUUGUUAAAGUGCAUAUAUGCGCAGGUUUCACGUCUUAUUACACACUAUAAACCAACCUCAGAAUGUAUCGUAUAGAGUUGGGACUCCGCGCGCCCUUCUUUACACAAUGUCUAUA
Molecule: unclassified non-coding RNA, 265 nt
Filed under: uncultured Basidiomycota
Lineage: Eukaryota; Fungi; Basidiomycota
Description: sequence contains ITS1
Source: RNAcentral